This 466-nucleotide ribosomal RNA is filed under the name uncultured bacterium. RNAcentral's name for it is "partial 16S ribosomal RNA". It matches the Rfam family "Bacterial small subunit ribosomal RNA", at positions 28 to 507 of the family's 1533-position model. The record is from RNAcentral.
GAUGAACGCUGGCGGCGUGCUUAACACAUGCAAGUCGAACGGAAAGGCUCCUGCUUGCAGGGGUACUCGAGUGACGAACGGGUGAGUAACACGUGGGUGAUCUGCCCUGCACUUCGGGAUAAGCCUGGGAAACUGGGUCUAAUACCGGAUAGGACGAUGGUUUGGAUGCCAUUGUGGAAAGUUUUUUCGGUGUGGGAUGAGCUCGCGGCCUAUCAGCUUGUUGGUGGGGUAAUGGCCUACCAAGGCGUCGACGGGUAGCCGGCCUGAGAGGGUGUACGGCCACAUUGGGACUGAGAUACGGCCCAGACUCCUACGGGAGGCAGCAGUGGGGAAUAUUGCACAAUGGGCGCAAGCCUGAUGCAGCGACGCCGCGUGGGGGAUGACGGCCUUCGGGUUGUAAACUCCUUUCGCUAGGGACGAAGCGCAAGUGACGGUACCUGGAGAAGAAGCACCGGCUAACUACGUG